Molecule: long non-coding RNA, 1229 nt
Organism: Aethina tumida (small hive beetle)
Lineage: Eukaryota; Metazoa; Arthropoda; Insecta; Coleoptera; Nitidulidae
Exons: 5
Source: RefSeq, a predicted model, not a curated record
GGCGUUUUUGGUUGUUCGGUUAUGCUUUGUUCAGUUAUUUAUCAUAAACCAUGUAUUUAAACUAUAAGCAUUGGCGUAAGAAACGAAGAAGCUUUCCACUGGUUGUAAGUUUUUUAGGACCAAUGAGAAAUUAAAUUGGUAUGAAAUUUUACCAAGAAAGGAAAUGAAAUGAAUCAGAAACGUAAACAUAAAAGCAUUUAUCCAAGAAACUAAAAAGAUAACCAACAAGUAGAAAGUUCCUUAGGACCAAUGAAAAAUUAAACAGGCAUGUCAUUUUGUGAGGAAAUGAUAUGAAAUGAAUCAGAAAUGUCAAUAUAAGAGCAUAUAUCCAAGAAAAAGCUUUCUACCAAGAUUUAAGUUCUUUAAGACAAAUGAGAAAAUAAACUGCCAUGUUAUUUGAAGAGGACAGAAAAUGUAAUGAAUUAGAAACAUAGGUAUAAAAGGUAUUAGGAUCACUUUUUCGGAAACCACUCAUCGAGUCUUACUUUCUUCAGUCACUUGAACCAAUUGAUUGUAUCAAUCUGCUACCACACCAAAAUAAUUGAGAGAUCUAGGGUUGAAACAUCAAUAAUGUUCAAUUCAUUUGUAUAUAGUCAUAAGCACGAGUUGCUGCGCCAGUUGUGCACUUUCAUAAGUAAUGUUAUGUAUUUAGUAUGUAAUUUAUUCCUUCAGCAUAUAUCCACUUGUGUACUUGUUCAAUUGUCUCAACUAAGGUUUAUAACUUGCUGCUCUUUGAACAUUGGAGUUGAUGAAUUGACAAUUAGACAAUUGAACAAGUAUUUUAAUGCUGAAAAGAUUUAUUUAUCUCUUAUGUGUCUGUUGAAUUUAUGAUAUUUUCUAUUUACCUUAACAAGGAUUUAGGGGGUCCUUUUUAAUGUACUUUUGGUUUAACAUACGACACUCAUUUUUUCCUUGUAAGUAGUAAUUUUACUUCAUUUAUCCUAUUUGCUGUGUCUAUUAGUGACUUCGAAAUUUCCAUUUUUCGAUUUUGGUUUGGAAACGUCAGUGCUGGACUGUUUAAUCGAUCGUCUCUUGAGUCGUUACUUCUUAUGUUCAAAGAAUAAUAAUGUAUGUCCUAUUAUUCUAGCGUAGUUUAAGUUCUUGCUUAACGGUAGGAAUCCAUUUCAAUGAUUCCCGACUACUAAACAAAGUGUAAUUGCUUUUGCUUUUCCUGCUAUAGUAUAUUUGUUGUCUCCUCCGGUCCAAAUAUAUUUGUUGACAAGUCGUGA